RNAcentral lists this transfer RNA (67 nucleotides) under Marmota monax (woodchuck). RNAcentral's name for it is "tRNA.Ala". Lineage: Eukaryota; Metazoa; Chordata; Mammalia; Rodentia; Sciuridae. The record is from RNAcentral.
GGUUGUAGCUCAGUGGUAGAGUACCUGCCUAGCAUAUGUGAGGGACUGGGUUCAAUCCUCAGCACCA